CCAAGCGUUGUUCGGAUUCACUGGGCGUAAAGGGUGCGUAGGUGGUGGGGUAAGUCGGAUGUGAAAGCUCGGAGCUCAACUCCGAAAUGGCAUUGGAAACUACCCUGCUAGAGGAUUGGAGGGGGGACUGGAAUACUUGGUGUAGCAGUGAAAUGCGUAGAUAUCAAGUGGAACACCAGUGGCGAAGGCGAGUCCCUGGACAAUACCUGACACUGAGGCACGAAAGCUAGGGGAGCAAACAGG
RNAcentral lists this ribosomal RNA (243 nucleotides) under uncultured bacterium. RNAcentral's name for it is "partial 16S ribosomal RNA". It matches the Rfam family "Bacterial small subunit ribosomal RNA", at positions 534 to 776 of the family's 1533-position model. The record is from RNAcentral.